CCAAUAGCGUAUAUUAAAGUUGUUGCAGUUAAAAAGCUCGUAGUUGAAUUUCGGGGUUCUACCGUUGGUCGGGCAAUUGUCUGUACUGGCGUGUGGAAUUUCUACCUUCUGGGGAACCAUCAUGUUAUUAAUUUAGCGUGGUGGGAAACCAGGACCUUUACCUUGAAAAAAUUAGAGUGUUCAAAGCAGGCUUACGUCUGAAUACAUUAGCAUGGAAUAAUAAAAUAGGACGGUGGUCCUGUUUUGUUGGUUUCUGAAUCACCGUAAUGAUUAAUAGGGAUAGUUGGGGGCAUUAGGAUUCAAGUGUCAGAGGUGAAAUUCUUGGAUUUAUUGAAGACUAACUUCUGCGAAAGCAUUUGCCAAGGAUGUUUUCAUUAAUCAAGAACGAAAGUUAGGGGAUCGAAGACGAUCAGAUACCGUCGUAGUCUUAACCAUAAACUAUGCCGACUAGGGAUCGGACGAUGUUAAUUUUUCUUGACUCGUUCGGCGCCUUACG
This 496-nucleotide ribosomal RNA is filed under the name uncultured Glomeromycotina. RNAcentral describes it as "partial small subunit ribosomal RNA". It matches the Rfam family "Eukaryotic small subunit ribosomal RNA", at positions 591 to 1092 of the family's 1831-position model. The record is from RNAcentral. Lineage: Eukaryota; Fungi; Glomeromycota.